GACGAACGCUGGCGGCGUGCUUAACACAUGCAAGUCGAACGGUGAAGGGACCGGUUUUUGCUGGUUCUGGAUGAGUGGCGAACGGGUGAGUAACACGUGAGUAACCUGCCCCCCUCUUCUGGAUAACCGCAUGAAAGUGUGGCUAAUACGGGAUAUUCUGCGCCUGCUGCAUGGUGGGUGUGGGAAAGAUAUUGUUUCGGUGGGGGAUGGGCUCGCGGCCUAUCAGCUUGUUGGUGGGGUGAUGGCCUACCAAGGCAGUGACGGGUAGCCGGCCUGAGAGGGUGGACGGUCACACUGGGACUGAGACACGGCCCAGACUCCUACGGGAGGCAGCAGUGGGGAAUAUUGCACAAUGGGCGCAAGCCUGAUGCAGCGACGCCGCGUGAGGGAUGGAGGCCUUCGGGUUGUAAACCUCUUUCGCCAGUGAAGCAGGCCUGUCCCUUUUGUGGGUGGGUUGACGGUAGCUGGAGAAGAAGCGCCGGCUAACUACGUG
RNAcentral lists this ribosomal RNA (493 nucleotides) under uncultured bacterium. RNAcentral's name for it is "partial 16S ribosomal RNA". It matches the Rfam family "Bacterial small subunit ribosomal RNA", at positions 28 to 507 of the family's 1533-position model. The record is from RNAcentral.